AAUUGCCCGUGGUAUCUAAUGUCCAAUCCUUUUUAAUGACUGGACGUUUCGUUUUGAGGGCAUAGAGUAAUUAUACACAGGUCUUGCGACACAGUUAGCUUCUUGCAAUGUAUAAGCUUUCUGUUACUAAAUCCCUGCGUACAUGU
Benincasa hispida (wax gourd) is the source of this 146-nucleotide small nucleolar RNA. RefSeq annotates it as small nucleolar RNA F1/F2/snoR5a. The record is from RefSeq and is a predicted model, not a curated record. NCBI's taxonomy places the organism in Eukaryota, Viridiplantae, Streptophyta, Magnoliopsida, Cucurbitales, Cucurbitaceae.